This 585-nucleotide ribosomal RNA is filed under the name uncultured bacterium. RNAcentral describes it as "bacterial SSU rRNA". It matches the Rfam family "Bacterial small subunit ribosomal RNA", at positions 116 to 716 of the family's 1533-position model. The record is from RNAcentral.
CGUAAGUAAUCUGCCUUCGAGUGGGGAAUAACGUCCGGAAACGGACGCUAAUACCGCAUAACGCAGCGGCACCUAAUGGUGACAGUUGUUAAAGGAGCAAUCCGCUUGAAGAGGAGCUUGCGGCAGAUUAGCUUGUUGGUAAGGUAACGGCUUACCAAGGCUACGAUCUGUAACCGGUCUAAGAGGACGGUCGGUCACACUGACACUGAAUAACGGGUCAGACUCCUACGGGAGGCAGCAGUCGGGAAUUUUGGGCAAUGGGCGAAAGCCUGACCCAGCAACGCCGCGUGAAGGAUGAAGUAUUUCGGUAUGUAAACUUCGAAAGAAUGGGAAGAAUCAAUGACGGUACCAUUUAUAAGGUCCGGCUAACUACGUGCCAGCAGCCGCGGUAAUACGUAGGGACCAAGCGUUGUUCGGAUUUACUGGGCGUAAAGGGCGCGUAGGCGGCAAUUCAAGUCAUCUGUGAAAUCUCCGGGCUUAACUCGGAACGGUCAGAUGAUACUGCUUUGCUAGAGUGCGGAAGGGGCAAUCGGAAUUCUCGGUGUAGCGGUGAAAUGCGUAGAUAUCGAGAGGAACACCUGAGGU